Molecule: long non-coding RNA, 518 nt
Organism: Mustela lutreola (European mink)
Lineage: Eukaryota; Metazoa; Chordata; Mammalia; Carnivora; Mustelidae
Exons: 3
Source: RefSeq, a predicted model, not a curated record
AAUACUGUUUUUCUGAAAAUAAAUAAAUUAAUCGAAAAAAAAGAAAAUAAUAAGUAAGUAAGUAAGUAAAAAAAUAAAUAAAUAAAAUCAUGUUUGAUUUCCCAGAUCACAAAAAAAAAAAAAAAAGAAAGAAAAAAAGAAAAAAAAAGAAAACGUUAGACAACAUUGCCUUAUUCCAAGUACAGGAGAGGACCCAAGAAUAAGGAGCUGGGAACAUGCCUGCUGGGGCACUCUCCUCCUCCCUCACAGAGAUGAAGCCCAAGGCUACACGAAGUCCCUGUCUCCUUGUGCUUGAGGAUGUGGGCCCUGCCGACGCUUUUACCUUUGUCCUUUCAAGCUCCCUUGGCUGCAUCUUCUCACAGAUGGAAGGAUCAGUCACACUUACAGGCAAGACCCCAGGGUGAGGAGGAUGUCUCUGUCCCUGGAACAAGGGGGCAAGAAAGAGUCAGGAGGGACUCAAAGAGGCAUUUCCGCAUGAAUGGGGUGUGGACCAUGUCACAGGAAAACACAGAAGUCCU